AAGUCAAAAUCCCCUCCAAUCCGUAUCAAUCCCCUUCAAUCCAUAUGGAUUGAAAAUAACCGAACAAGCCCUGAGUCGGGGUGCGAAGCCCCCCGAGCAGUCGAGUACUACUAGGAAGAGGGUAGAUAACCUUGCGAGUCCGUGGCACAAACGACCUUGUUUGCUAGAUGCCUCGGCUGAUGCUCCAGAGGUUAAGAAGAAAAGGAAGCUCCAGUGUUCGUUGGACAUGCAGCCGAUGUCUACCCAAGCUAAGCUAGACAUCAGCGAUGAUGUGGUGGAUGCUGGUUUGGUGGAUGAUGUGGAAGGUGGAGGCAUGGUGAAGACAGUCAGGUAUGUUGGGGAGGAAAUGGAGGAAGAUGAUGAUGAUGAUGAGGUGCUCCCACUAGUCCGGCGCGAGCGGCGUUCUAAGGCUCAAAGUGAUGCUUCAAGUCUUGUAGCCCAAUGAGACUGGUGGACAUCUAGGGUUUGUCCAUGUCAGUUGUGGAUUGUAUUCUUGAAGAGGCCAUUCCAAAGGCGCUGCUACGUGAAUUAUCCGAGAUAAAUGCUAUUGAUGUUGCCAUAGUUCGCUCGGAUGAAGUAUCUCAUGUUGGUUUGUUGGCUAGGCCAGAAGUAAGCCUGCCAUUUCCCUAGGGAGUUCUUGCAUUAGUCGGCUAUGCCGCCGAUCCAGUCCUGACCCUAGAGGGCGCUCCAGCCCCCGAGGGUGCUCUAGCCCUCGAGGGUGUCGUGCUUGGUUCUCCUUCUGCUGCUUCAAUGGAAGUUCAGGUUGGGUCGCUAAUGCCUCCGAUUGACGAUGCUGUGGCAACAAGUUCUACCCUGCCCAUCAGAUCUCGUCCAGACGAUCCAACCACUUUUGGAGGUUAGUGGUUCUGGUGCUGGUGCUGGUAAGUCUUUGCCAUCCCCCUUGGUUAAAGAGGCCACCCCGAGUCAAGUUCCUGAAGAUGCUACAACAACUUCGACCAGCGUUGGGAUCCCAAUGGGUGUUGCACUUCGUCUGGGGGAUUUGGAGCCUUUGGCGCUUGUUCCUACUUCCUUUGUGGCUUCUACGGAUGUUGCUACUUCUGGGCUAUCUUGGCUUCACCAGCUUUGGAUCUUCCAGUGUUUCUAUUGAAUUUGCAGGGCGUUUUGAAUCAGGUGGCCGUUCAGCUGAAAGUACAGGCAGCUUAGGUGCCCGAACAGAUAUCUUCUUUGUCGUAGUGGGAUCCUACUGUUCUUCAGAAGCAAAUAGAUGACCUGAAGGUUGCUAAUGUUGCUACGACUCGGUAGUGCUUUGAUGCUGAGUAGAGGUGCGCCCGAAGCUAGGCAGAGCUUAACCAAGUUACUGGGUUCCUUGAUGGCGCCCGUGCAAUGAGCUCCUCCUUGCAGUCGAAGUUAGACAUGGAAAAUAAAACUCACGAGGAGGAUAUCCAGAGGCUAAAGGAUGAAAAUCGAGCGUUGCUCUCUUCUCAAAAUAUUUUGCACAAGCUAUGCAGGGAUGCCACCAACUCCCUUACCACUUUGGAGAGGAGCCACCGAUUUACCAUGGAGGAGCUAGAGCGUAAGAGAGAUGAACUGAGGGAUUCCUAGGAUGAAGUGUCAGCGCUUAGCAGUUCGUUGUCCUCCAAACAUUCUAUCAUCAAUGACCUUCGUGCUUCGAAGAAAAUUUUGUCCCAAGAGUUGGAUACCGCCAAACGGAACAUUAAGGUCUUAGAGGGUGACCAUGAAGUUCUGAAGGCGGGGUAUGAUAAAGCGAUGGAUAAGGCGGUUCACGUGGGUUGUCUUCUAAUGAAGAAACCCAGUGUUGUGGCCCCUGAUGACAUUGUUGCAGAUGUUCUAGCUGCAUCGGGGAUUGCGGCUAAAGCUCUUGCCCCGGUGAACCCAAGGUUGAUUCCACUCCUGGAGGUGCUUCUACCUAAGUGCAUGAUGUAUUGUAAAUAAUUGUUGCUUGUGUGGGAGGUGCCCCUCCCCUCUAUGAAUGUAUUGAUAAUUAGUUUAAAUCUAAUCUUUAAGGUUGCUUCCCCCUUUCUUUGA
This is a long non-coding RNA of Zea mays, 2007 nucleotides long. RefSeq lists it as uncharacterized. The transcript has 4 exons. The record is from RefSeq and is a predicted model, not a curated record. Lineage: Eukaryota; Viridiplantae; Streptophyta; Magnoliopsida; Poales; Poaceae.